This 510-nucleotide ribosomal RNA is filed under the name uncultured bacterium. RNAcentral's name for it is "partial 16S ribosomal RNA". It matches the Rfam family "Bacterial small subunit ribosomal RNA", at positions 28 to 507 of the family's 1533-position model. The record is from RNAcentral.
GACGAACGCUGGCGGCGUGCUUAACACAUGCAAGUCGAACGAAGAGCGAUGGAAGCUUGCUUCUCUCAAUCUUAGUGGCGAACGGGUGAGUAACGCGUAAUCAACCUGCCCUUCAGAGGGGGACAACAGUUGGAAACGACUGCUAAUACCGCAUACGAUCCAAUCUCGGCAUCGGGACUGGAUGAAAGGUGGCCUCUAUUUAUAAGCUAUCACUGAAGGAGGGGAUUGCGUCUGAUUAGCUAGUUGGAGGGGUAACGGCCCACCAAGGCGAUGAUCAGUAGCCGGUCUGAGAGGAUGAACGGCCACAUUGGGACUGAGACACGGCCCAGACUCCUACGGGAGGCAGCAGUGGGGAAUCUUCCGCAAUAGACGAAAGUCUGACGGAGCAACGCCGCGUGAGUGAUGACGGCCUUCGGGUUGUAAAGCUCUGUUAAUCGGGACGAAUGGUUCUUGUGCGAAUAGUGCGAGGAUUUGACGGUACCGGAAUAGAAAGCCACGGCUAACUACGUG